GCUGGUGGUGUAGUGGUAGCACGCAUUCCCGGCAUGGAUGAAGCGCAGGUUCGACUCCCGUCUGAGGUC
This is a non-coding RNA of Parelaphostrongylus tenuis, 69 nucleotides long. NCBI's taxonomy places the organism in Eukaryota, Metazoa, Nematoda, Chromadorea, Rhabditida, Metastrongylidae. The record is from the annotation of a GenBank genome assembly.